CGCCGACGAAGAGGAGAGAGCGAACCGUGCCGUCCGUGAAGCCUGGCUCGCCAUCGUCCGUGCUCAUCGCCACCGAGGGUUCACCGCUGGUGAGGAGAAGACGCCGUCGCCCGUCGCUGUUGCUGUAGCUGUCCGCGCCGUUGUCAUCGCCGAAGGGAGCUAGCAUCGCCGCCGUCCAUGGAGGAAGCAGAGGAGACAGAUCCGCGAGGAAGGGAGGACCGCGACCUGUCCAGCCGUCGUUCCCUGUCGCCGCUCGUGUCGCCGGCGCCGUCCUCGUCCGAACCGUUGCUAGAUCCGCCGCUGUUGAAGCUUCUGGCCGUGCCUCUGCGUCGCCAGAGCUCCACGCCACCGCUGUCGCCGCCGAAAACCAUCUCUAAAGCCUGUUUGCUUGGAUAUUCGGUCACCACGAGUUUCUCUGCCGCCGUCCAAGCUGCCACCAGAAGGAUCCACCACAGCCUCCUCUGUUCUUGUCUUUGAAUUAGAACUGCCCUUUUCCAAUCUCAAUCUCAAUUCUGCUAAUUCUGAAUAUGUAUGUUUGAAAAAUUAAAAUGGGUGCUGCUGCCAUUGUUUCGGUCACAUUGGAAUCACUGCUGCUGCCAUAAAACAGAAAGGGAAGGGAGUUACUAUGUUUAACCUGUGUGAAUUCAGCUAGUUGAGCUUUACCUUUUCAGGAACCGGAUGAAGAAGCAUUAAGAAAAGUUAUACUGCGUUU
Molecule: non-coding RNA, 712 nt
Organism: Arachis ipaensis
Lineage: Eukaryota; Viridiplantae; Streptophyta; Magnoliopsida; Fabales; Fabaceae
Source: RefSeq, a predicted model, not a curated record